Molecule: long non-coding RNA, 581 nt
Filed under: Equus caballus (horse)
Lineage: Eukaryota; Metazoa; Chordata; Mammalia; Perissodactyla; Equidae
Description: lncRNA (ENSECAG00000047299.1)
Source: RNAcentral
AGCAAGGGGAGUUAAGGCUUAGAAUUCAGAUUGCAGGUAUAUUUCAGAAUGCUUAAAUGCUGGGGUCCUUCUAUUUGUGGCAUGUGGGAUGCUGCCUCAACACAGGCUGAUGAACAGUGCCAUGUCCAUGCCCAGGAUCCAAACUGAUGAAACCUUGGGCUGCCAAAGCAGAGUGUGCGAAAUUAACCACUUGGCCACGGAGCCCACCCCUCAGUUCAGCUUUUAUUAGUUAAUUUUCUGUGCAGGAGUAAGGAUAAGGAAAAUGAGACCCAGAGAGGCUGGAGAUCAUGGCCUUGCUCUUCCGUGCCAAGUUGCUGGACUCAUCUCCUCAGAGUGCUUCCUUUGAACUUCUUUAAUGCCACUUGACCAGACUUCACGUUGGGCUAUACUCAUGAGAUUUCCCUCCAGAAAUAGCCAAGGUUUGAAAUGAAACAAACCGUUUUUCAAGAUCAUCAAAAUAUUCUCAGAAAUAAACUGAAUGAAAUAUAUGGAUUUUUAAUUCCAAGGUCUGCACUCGAAGGGAGAGGCUGGCUUUCCAUGCAAAUAGUGCUCUCACAAACAUGGUGAACGUUCCUAAAACC